AUUGAACGCUGGCGGCAUGCCUUACACAUGCAAGUCGAACGGCAGCGGGGGAGAAGCUUGCUUUUCCUGCCGGCGAGUGGCGAACGGGUGAGUAAUACAUCGGAACGUGCCCUGUAGUGGGGGAUAACUAGUCGAAAGAUUAGCUAAUACCGCACACGACCUGAGGGUGAAAGUGGGGGACCGCAAGGCCUCAUGCUAUAGGAGCGGCCGAUGUCUGAUUAGCUAGUUGGUGGGGUAAAGGCCUACCAAGGGGACGAUCAGUAGCUGGUCUGAGAGGACGAUCAGCCACACUGGGACUGAGACACGGCCCAGACUCCUACGGGAGGCAGCAGUGGGGAAUUUUGGACAAUGGGCGAAAGCCUGAUCCAGCAAUGCCGCGUGUGUGAAGAAGGCCUUCGGGUUGUAAAGCACUUUUGUCCGGAAAGAAAUGGCUCUGGUUAAUACCUGGGGUCGAUGACGGUACCGGAAGAAUAAGGACCGGCUAACUACGUGCCAGCAGCCGCCGUAA
This 508-nucleotide ribosomal RNA is filed under the name uncultured bacterium. RNAcentral describes it as "partial 16S ribosomal RNA". It matches the Rfam family "Bacterial small subunit ribosomal RNA", at positions 30 to 523 of the family's 1533-position model. The record is from RNAcentral.